This 1304-nucleotide long non-coding RNA is filed under the name Anolis carolinensis (green anole). RNAcentral's name for it is "lncRNA (ENSACAG00000042548.1)". The record is from RNAcentral. Lineage: Eukaryota; Metazoa; Chordata; Lepidosauria; Squamata; Anolidae.
AGUGUCACCAGCCAGAGCCCUAUAAAUAUCUUGGGCCAUACUACAGCUGGACAACAUCAAGCAUGAACCAUGUGAAACUGUGGUCAGCAAAGAAUACACACAAAGGGUCAGAAAAAUUCUCAAAAGCAAGCUCAAUGGAGGCAACACCCAUCAAGGCCAUAAACACCUGGGCCAUACCUGUCAUAAGAUAUACUGCUGGCAUUAUAAAUUGGACACAGGUGGAACUGGACAAUUUGGACAGAAAAACAAGAAAACUCAUGACCAUUCAUCAUUCACUGCACCCUCGCAGUGAUGUUGACCGGCUGUAUCUGCCUAGAAGAUCAGGGGGCAGAGGACUCUUACAAGUAAAGCAAGCAGUCAAAGAAGAAGAACAUGCCCUGGCAGAAUAUGUCAAGCAAAGUGAAGAACCUGCUUUGAUUGAAGUCAAAAAUCAGAAACUCCUCAAAGCACAGCAGACAAAAAACCAGUACAAGAAAACCGCACUACAAACUAGAGCUGACAGCUGGCACAACAAAACACUGCAUGGAAAGUUCCUUGACAAAAUUGAAGGAAAAGCUGAUAAGGAGAAGACCUGGCUAUGGUUCAAGAAUGGAACACUGAAGAAGGAGACAGAAGGCCUGAUCCUUGCAGCCCAGGAGCAAGCCAUCAGAACAAAUGCAAUUAAGGCCAAGAUUGAAAAAUCAGCUGAUGACCCAAAAUGCAGACUGUGCAAGGAAACCGACGAAACCAUUGAUCAUAUCCUCAGCUGCUGUAAGACAGACUACAAACAGAGGCACAACUAUGUGGCCCAAAUGAUUCAUUGGAACUUAUGCCUCAAGUACCACCUCUCAGCAGCAAAGAACUGGUGGGAUCACAAACCUGCAAAAGUAUUGGAAAAUGAACAUGCAAAGAUACUGUGGGACUUCCGAAUCCAGACUGACAAAGUUCUGGAACACAACACACCAGACAUCACAGUUGUGGAAAAGAACAAGGUUUGGAUCAUUGAUGUUGCCAUCCCAGGUGACAGUCGCAUAGAUGAAAAACAACAGGAAAAACUCAGCCGCUAUCAGGACCUCAAGAUUGAACUUCAAAGACUCUGGCAGAAACCAGUGCAGGUGGUCCCGGUGGUGAUGGGCACACUGGGUGCUGUGCCAAAAGAUCUCAGCCGGCAUUUGGAAACAAUAGACAUUGACAAAAUCACCAUCUGCCAACUGCAAAAGGCCACCCUACUGGGAUCUGCACACAUCAUCAGAAAAUACAUCACACAGUCCUCUGGGUGCCGUGCCAAAAGAUCUCAGCCAGCAUUUGGAAACAAUAUGCAUUGA